AUUGAACGCUGGCGGCAGGCCUAACACAUGCAAGUCGAACGAGUGGCGGACGGGUGAGUAAUGUCUGGGAAACUGCCUGAUGGAGGGGGUUAACUACUGGAAACGGUAGCUAAUACCGCCUACCAUCGGAUGUGCCCAGAUGGGAUUAGCUAGUUGGGGGGGUAACGGAUCACCAGGGCGACGAACCCGCGCUGGUCUUUGAGGAUGACCAACCACACUGGAACUGAGACACGGUCCAGACUCCUAAGGGAGGCAGCAGGGGGGAAUAUUGCACAAUGGGCGCAAGCCUGAUGCAGCCAUGCCGCGUGUAUGAAGAAGGCCUUCGGGUUGUAAAGUACUUUCAGCGUGGAGGCGUUACCCGAAGAAGAAGCACCGGCUAACUCCGUGCCAGCAGGCGCGGUAAUAC
RNAcentral lists this ribosomal RNA (406 nucleotides) under uncultured bacterium. RNAcentral's name for it is "partial 16S ribosomal RNA". It matches the Rfam family "Bacterial small subunit ribosomal RNA", at positions 30 to 526 of the family's 1533-position model. The record is from RNAcentral.